ACAAAAUCUAAUUCUACAAUCAGAAGCGACUAGCGGCAAAACAAAUACUCUGACAGCGUUGCCAGACUUUAAAAAGUAGCUAUGCUGUAGCUAAAACCCGCCAAAUAAGCAUAGCUAGAUCACCAACAUCUGGUCACACUAUUAACUCGUUUUUGUCACUAGACGCUUCCACUUGCAAAUAGUUUUUUAAUUUAGUGCUUAAAAUGCAGAAAAGUGCAUACAAAUUGAAUUUUCAGAAAACUAAUGCAAUUGUAGUCCAAAUGAUUCUAUUCCCACUAAAAACAAUUCGACGGUUGUUGGAAUAUUGCAAAAACUUUCUAAUUGGAAAAAAGGAAGAAGAAGAAAGGAAAAAAUGGUCAGAUACCACCGACUCGUCUAAUAUUUGUUGGUGUUGGAUUGAGAGGUCGUGCCCUUUGGAGGAAAACCCAAAAUGCAAUAUAUGUAUGGCUACCCAGACUAACUUUUAAUACCUAACAUGUAACGAUCUUCGUUCAGGAAGACCCUCUAUAUCAUGGCUUGAGAGUUGUUACCAUGUCAAAUGAAACACUAGAUGCAAUAUAUGUAUGUAUGUCUGUAGGUUAAUAAGAGAUCAGGCCCAUUCCUUGAAGACCUUAGAGAUAGCUACUUAUCGCCUUAGAGAGAUGCAAGCUUCACGUCCUAAUGUCAAGAACCCCAACUGCCCUUUGGUUCUCUAUGUAUUCUAGAACUCGACGCCAGGCUUACAUUUAUCCAUUGUUUCUGUUUCGUGGAUUAUUUUUAAAUUA
Drosophila willistoni is the source of this 764-nucleotide long non-coding RNA. RefSeq lists it as uncharacterized. Lineage: Eukaryota; Metazoa; Arthropoda; Insecta; Diptera; Drosophilidae. The record is from RefSeq and is a predicted model, not a curated record. The transcript has 3 exons.